UACGAAGGGGGCUAGCGUUGCUCGGAAUCACUGGGCGUAAAGGGUGCGUAGGCGGGUCUUUAAGUCAGGGGUGAAAUCCUGGAGCUCAACUCCAGAACUGCCUUUGAUACUGAAGAUCUUGAGUUCGGGAGAGGUGAGUGGAACUGCGAGUGUAGAGGUGAAAUUCGUAGAUAUUCGCAAGAACACCAGUGGCGAAGGCGACUCUUUGGCCUGUAACUGACGCUGAGGCGCGAAAGCGUGGGGAGCAAACAGG
Molecule: ribosomal RNA, 253 nt
Filed under: uncultured bacterium
Lineage: Bacteria
Description: partial 16S ribosomal RNA
Rfam family: Bacterial small subunit ribosomal RNA
Source: RNAcentral